Molecule: ribosomal RNA, 490 nt
Filed under: uncultured bacterium
Lineage: Bacteria
Description: partial 16S ribosomal RNA
Rfam family: Bacterial small subunit ribosomal RNA
Source: RNAcentral
AUUGAACGCUGGCGGCAGGCCUAACACAUGCAAGUCGAACGGUAACAGGAAGCAGCUUGCUGCUUCGCUGACGAGUGGCGGACGGGUGAGUAAUGUCUGGGAAGCUGCCUGAUGGAGGGGGAUAACUACUGGAAACGGUAGCUAAUACCGCAUAAUGUCGCAGGACCAAAGAGGGGGACCUUCGGGCCUCUUGCCAUCGGAUGUGCCCAGAUGGGAUUAGCUUGUUGGUGGGGUAACGGCUCACCAAGGCGACGAACCCUAGCUGGUCUGAGAGGAUGACCAGCCACACUGGAACUGAGACACGGUCCAGACUCCUACGGGAGGCAGCAGUGGGGAAUAUUGCACAAAGGGCGCAAGCCUGAUGCAGCCAUGCCGCGUGUAUGAAGAAGGCCUUCGGGUUGUAAAGUACUUUCAGCGGGGAGGAAGGGAGUAAAGUUAAUACCUUUGCUCAUUGACGUUACCCGCAGAAGAAGCACCGGCUAACUCCGUG